RNAcentral lists this ribosomal RNA (484 nucleotides) under uncultured bacterium. RNAcentral's name for it is "partial 16S ribosomal RNA". It matches the Rfam family "Bacterial small subunit ribosomal RNA", at positions 28 to 523 of the family's 1533-position model. The record is from RNAcentral.
GACGAACGCUGGCGGCGUGCUUAACACAUGCAAGUCGAACGAUGAAGCUAGAGCUUGCUCUGGUGAAUUAGUGGCGAACGGGUGAGUAACACGUGAGUAACCUGCCCCGAACUCUGGGAUAACUGCUGGAAACGGUAGCUAAUACUGGAUACGACCUACGAAGGCAUCUUCUGUAGGUGGAAAGAAUUUCGGUUCGGGAUGGACUCGCGGCCUAUCAGCUUGUUGGUGAGGUAAUGGCUCACCAAGGCGACGACGGGUAGCCGGCCUGAGAGGGUGACCGGCCACACUGGGACUGGGACACGGCCCAGACUCCUACGGGAGGCAGCAGUGGGGAAUAUUGCACAAUGGGCGCAAGCCUGAUGCAGCAACGCCGCGUGAGGGAUGACGGCCUUCGGGUUGUAAACCUCUUUUAGUAGGGAAGAAGCGAAAGUGACGGUACCUGCAGAAAAAGCACCGGCUAACUACGUGCCAGUCGCCGCGGUAA